AGAAUCCUAGAAACUGAUUGUCCAAACGCAAUUCUUGUGCAAUUUUGAAGUAAAACCCAAGAAUUGUGGCUGGACAUCUGUUGCUGGAGGUUC
RNAcentral lists this microRNA precursor (93 nucleotides) under Lepisosteus oculatus (spotted gar). Its description in RNAcentral is "Danio rerio miR-219-2 stem-loop (ENSLOCG00000020078.1)". The stretch from base 7 to 87 matches the Rfam family "mir-219 microRNA precursor family". Rfam says of the family: The hairpin precursors (represented here) are predicted based on base pairing and cross-species conservation -- their extents are not known. In this case the mature sequence is excised from the 5' arm of the hairpin. Lineage: Eukaryota; Metazoa; Chordata; Actinopteri; Semionotiformes; Lepisosteidae. The record is from RNAcentral.